RNAcentral lists this transfer RNA (77 nucleotides) under Deltaproteobacteria bacterium. RNAcentral's name for it is "tRNA-Pro". It matches the Rfam family "tRNA". Rfam says of the family: Transfer RNA (tRNA) molecules are approximately 80 nucleotides in length. Their secondary structure includes four short double-helical elements and three loops (D, anti-codon, and T loops). The record is from RNAcentral. Lineage: Bacteria; Pseudomonadati; Myxococcota; Myxococcia.
CGGGGCGUGGCGCAGUCUGGUAGCGCACUUGGUUUGGGACCAAGGAGUCGCAGGUUCGAAUCCUGCCGCCCCGACCA